UUGGUUUUGUUAGUUUUGUGUCUGACAACAGACAGUUUUUCAUAAGUUAAUACUCAGAGUUUUUGGUGAAGUCGUUCUCUUGGGUUGUGAAGCCAAGCGAAAGAUUCAAAUCAGUGGUCUAAAUGACAGCUCAGAAGUGGACUGCUAGGCAUUGAGUAGAGUAUUCUAUAACCAAUAAGCCUUCAGUCCUUGUCUCUGCUCUGUAAAAUGAGGAGUUGCCUCCUCGAAAACGGUACGCGGGUCGAAAAGUGUGAAGCUAUUGCUAGCGACUCACUUUUUUGAAAAGGGUGUGGUAAUGAUCCUUCCGCAGGUUCACCUACGGAAA
RNAcentral lists this unclassified non-coding RNA (325 nucleotides) under uncultured fungus. RNAcentral describes it as "sequence contains ITS1". The record is from RNAcentral. Lineage: Eukaryota; Fungi.